CUUCGGGGUACACGAGCGGCGAACGGGUGAGUAACACGUGGGUGAUCUGCCCUGUACUUCGGGAUAAGCCUGGGAAACUGGGUCUAAUACCGGAUAUGACCUUCGGUUGCAUGGCCGUGGGUGGAAAGAUUUAUCGGUACAGGAUGGGCCCGCGGCCUAUCAGCUUGUUGGUGGGGUAAUGGCCUACCAAGGCGACGACGGGUAGCCGGCCUGAGAGGGCGACCGGCCACACUGGGACUGAGACACGGCCCAGACUCCUACGGGAGGCAGCAGUGGGGAAUAUUGCACAAUGGGCGAAAGCCUGAUGCAGCGACGCCGCGUGAGGGAUGACGGCCUUCGGGUUGUAAACCUCUUUCGACAGGGACGAAGCGCAAGUGACGGUACCUGUAGAAGAAGCACCGGCCAACUACGUGCCAGCAGCCGCGGUAAUACGUAGGGUGCGAGCGUUGUCCGGAAUUACUGGGCGUAAAGAGCUUGUAGGCGGUUCGUCGCGUCGUUCGUGAAAACUUGGGGCUCAACCCCAAGCUUGCGGGCGAUACGGGCGGACUAGAGUACUUCAGGGGAGACUGGAAUUCCUGGUGUAGCGGUGAAAUGCGCAGAUAUCAGGAGGAACACCGGUGGCGAAGGCGGGUCUCUGGGAAGUAACUGACGCUGAGAAGCGAAAGCGUGGGUAGCGAACAGGAUUAGAUACCCUGGUAGUCCACGCCGUAAACGGUGGGUACUAGUGUGGGUUUCCUUCCACGGGAUCCGUGCCGUAGCUAACGCAUUAAGUACCCCGCCUGGGGGAGUACGGCCGCAAGCUAAACUCAAAGAAUUGACGGGGGCCCGCACAGCGCGAGCAUGUGAUUAAUCGAUGCACGCGAGACACUUACCUGGGUUUGACAUACA
This 888-nucleotide ribosomal RNA is filed under the name Nocardia asteroides. RNAcentral's name for it is "bacterial SSU rRNA". It matches the Rfam family "Bacterial small subunit ribosomal RNA", at positions 78 to 990 of the family's 1533-position model. Lineage: Bacteria; Bacillati; Actinomycetota; Actinomycetes; Mycobacteriales; Nocardiaceae. The record is from RNAcentral.